Molecule: unclassified non-coding RNA, 2765 nt
Filed under: Drosophila virilis
Lineage: Eukaryota; Metazoa; Arthropoda; Insecta; Diptera; Drosophilidae
Description: GJ23332
Source: RNAcentral
UUAUCAUUUUAUUAGAGGCUGCGAUGACUUUGCGUUAAAAUGAAUAAUGAUAAUCCAAAUAUAAUAUUUAAUCCACUAAUUAGUUCCAUACAAAAAGUGGUACUUUAUGAAACACGAUCGCGCCUGUACUUGGUGGGCAGCAACAAUCGCGAGACAAGAUUUCGCUUGCUCACCAUCGAUCGGCUGGCGCUGAAUCGCUUGAUCAUCGAGGAGAAUGCGAACGAGUUGAACAGUUUGGAGAUUCGCAGGUUUGUGUCCUCAUUAACGGGAUCGCCAAAAAUAACCUCCGCCUACGGUGUGUUGGGUUUCGUGCGUUUCCUGGAGGGGUAUUACCUUAUACUGGUUACCAAGCGAAAAUGCUGCGCCCAUAUUGGCAUGCAUCUGGUGUAUACCAUCAAAGAUACCGUGAUGGUGCGCGUCAAUGAGGUGACCUCACAGCGACCUCCACAUCCGCAUGAGGAGCGCUACAAGAGGAUGUUCCAAAAUAUUGAUUUACGCAGCAACUUUUACUUUUCCUACUCGUACGACUUGACUCGCACGCUGCAGUACAACGAGUCGGCGCCACGAUAUGUGGGUGCCAAGGUGAAUCUAGAGCGGGAUGAGCCGCUGCCCGAUUGGAAUACGCUUACCAACAAUGUCGCGCAGGCGCACGAGCGUGUCGACUAUGCCUUUCGCAGCGAUUCACGCAAGCGUUUUGUGUGGAACGCUUAUCUACUGAAGCCUAUGGAGGUCAUUAUGCUUAAGGACUGGCUGUUGGAGGUCACACAUGGCUAUGUAAGCCAGUCGUGCAUCAGCAUCUUUGGCAGACAUGUGAAUGUUUGUCUAAUAGCGCGUCGCAGCACACGCUUUGCUGGCACGCGGUUUCUCAAACGAGGCGCUAAUUUUCGUGGCGACGUAGCUAAUGAAGUCGAAACGGAACAGAUUGUAAGCGACGGGCAGCGACUAUGCGCUUUCACGCAAAUGCGCGGUUCGAUACCGUCGCACUGGUCCCAGGACAUUAGCAAGAUGGUGCCAAAGCCGCCCAUACAGCUAGACAUAUGUGAUCCCUAUGCUCAAACUCCGUCACGGCAUUUCGAACGCCUUCUGUUUCACUAUGGUGCUCCGCUGAUUAUGCUGAAUUUGGUAAAGAAGCGUGAGCGACGGAAACACGAGUCCAUAAUUUCCAAGGAACUGCAAAACAGCAUUAAGUAUCUUAAUCAGUUCUUGCCGCCGCAGCAUCGCAUGAAGCACAUUCACUUUGAUAUGGCACGUCAGAGCCGGAUCAGCGGGGGCAAUGUCAUGGAACAACUGGCCGUGCACGCGGCGAGUAUGAUACAGAUGACAGGCAUGUUUUAUAAGGCUCAUCGGGGCAGUGAGCUCAGUUUCCAGACGGGCAUUGUGCGUACAAAUUGCGUAGAUUGCUUGGAUCGCACCAACUCGGCGCAGUUUGCUAUUGGAAAAUGCGCUCUGGGGCAUCAGUUAGAGCGGCUGGGUUUUGUUAAAUCAGCCAAACUGGAGUUUGAUUCGGAUUGUGUGACUAUGCUGGAGCAUCUGUACGAAGAGCACGGUGAUACUUUGGCUCUGCAGUAUGGCGGAUCACAGCUAGUGCAUCGCAUUAAGACCUAUCGUAAAACGGCCGCCUGGGCCUCUCAGGGCAAUGACGUUAUGCAGACUCUAAGCCGCUACUACAGUAAUACAUUUAGCGACACGGAGAAGCAGCAGAGCAUUAAUUUGUUUCUGGGCCUCUACAAGCCGAGUUUUAACAAGCUAAACCAACCAAUUUGGGAGCUUCAAACGGAUUACGAUAUGCACAAUGCCUUUGUGCCGAGCACUUCGAUAGCUCCUAUCACGGAUUGGGUGCGGCAUAAGGUGCGCGAGUGCUUACCCUUUCCCUGCGCCGACACCAACAAGCUGGUCAAGGAGUUGUUUCGUGUGCAUAGCAAUGGCUUAGAGAUGAUUGAUGCCUUCUCGAAUUACCACCAGUCCUUUAAGUGGACGGAUUUGAGCGAGCACAUUGAAUUUGAGAUCAGCCAACUCGCCACGCGAUACAUGCCCACAUUCCGCACUAACUACAGUCCCUUCCAGCGUCAGAUACAGCCAUCGCGAAAGGGUCGACAAAAUCCAUCGAUGACUGGCCAAAGUUCUACCGGUUCCACCAACAGCAACUCCUCUAGUUCCAGCGAGGGCGAAGACAGCUCCAGCGAUGAAGAACUUAGUGCCAGCUUUGCAGAAAAAGAGUCGAAACAAACGGAAACAGCCGAACCAACCCCAUUUAGGCUGGCUUCCAUGCUACCACCCAUGGAAGAGGUAUAUGGCUGCACCAUCAGUUCCCCAUCCAAACAGAGCAUGGCUAUUUACAAAAAGUAUGUUCAAAUGGGCAAACUAUCUAGCGGUGGCACACAGCCAGGCCAAACGGCCGUAGCUCAACGCGAACAAGAGCUGGCCCAGAUGAUGCGUGGCAUCACACUACGUCCACUAGGUGACUACGGCACAGAUUCUUAUCUCAGUGUGUGGCCGCCAACAGUACCUGCAAAGAGUCUUCUCGUUUAUGCGGAAUACUGCAAAACGCCACGAAACUUUAAUGCGGUGCCUAAAUUUGAAGAAAGUGAUUUAUUAUAUGGUUAUUUUCAAAAGCUGGAAAGUACCCAGGUCAACUUAACAGGUGAUGCUUCAAUAUUGAUGAAGUCUAAAAUCGUUGACAGGGCAAUAGCAGUCGUAUAAAAAUAUUUUAUGUGCCGUUAAAGCUGUUCAAAUUCAUCAUGGGAAUUGGGAUGAAUAGUGAAGCU